GGCUCCUUGGGAUAGAUGGGGAGGCUGAGGCCCAGAAGGGGGCUGAGACCACCUCCCAGUUUCCCCAGCGAGGUGGCGCCUGAGCCACGGCCAGGCCCGGCCUCCUUCCACCCGGCCCUGCUGUGCGCGCGGCAGGUGCUGACCUGGCGAGGCCCGACAGGGGACCAGGUCGGGGUGACCGUCACUGACACCUGGACAGUCCUCGUUGUGUUCGGGGUGGGAAGCCCACGGGGAAGAGUGUAUCACAGCCAUUGGGAACUUUCUUCACCCAUCAAAGCCUCAGGGCUGAAGCAUCCUGAACAAGAACUCAGGAGAGUGAAAGAAACAGUUACCUGUCGGCUGCAGCUGGUACCAGCUCCCCACCCUGUACAGAGACCGAAGCGUCCUCUCUCUCCCCAUCACCCAGCACCAGACUCUGCCCCGUGACCUCAGCCUGCACCUGCUUCCUGGCUCCAUCCAGCCUUCCAGCCUCACUAGAUCAUCAUGGGCCACUGGCCAACACACAGGGCAGUGCCGAGCCCAGGCCGUGGUCACACAUGGCUGGUUUAGUAGCUGAAAACAUUGUUUUUCACUGGCCUCACAGUAAUGGCACCUGCCCCCAUUUUCUGUGAUUGAAUUUUUGGAUCCUGCUACCAGGUUAUGAUAGAUUUUAUGGUAUGUCUCAAGAUGUUGAGAUAAAGGUAAUAAAACAGCUAUAAAGUCCUGGCUCAAGAAGUGUUACAAACCCAAGCAGGGUAACUACAAGAAAACUGCACCCAGACACAACAUAGUAAAAUUGCUGAAAACCAAAGAUGAAUAGAACACUUAACAGUUGGAGGAAAAAAGCCACAUUACCUUCAUAAGGACACCAAUCACACUAACAUCUGACUUCGAAAUAGAAAUAUAAAAGCCAAACUACAAGGGAAUGUGAUCUUCAAAAUAUUGAAAGAAUUUAAUUGUUAAGUGAAAUAAUUAACUGCCAACCUAAAUUCUAUUCCUAGUGGAAAUACUCUCCAAGAAUAAAGGUGAAAUAAAUACAGACUCACACAAGAGAAAUCAAGAGUGUUCUUCCUCAGGAGACAUGAGCUGAUUGGUAUAGAAGAGGUGUUUGAAACGUCCUUAGAGGGAGGGCUAGAGACACAGGGAGGAGAAACCUUCAGAACACACCUUCCACUGAGGGCCAAAAAAGUCAACUAUCGAUUCUUUGAAAGUGCCCCAAACUCGUAAAUCUCUGGUGAUGCUGACCAAGAAAACAAUGAAGGAAGGCACCCUGCGAUGGGGAAGGAAAAGGGGAGAUUGCUGGAGAUCUGUGGACAUUAAAAAUAGGCACAUAUACACUAUGGAAUACUAUGCAGCCAUAAAAAAGGAUGAGUUCAUGUCCUUUGUAGUGACAUGGAUGAAGCUGGAAACCAUCAUUCUCAGCAAACUAUCGCAAGGACAGAAAACCAAACACUGCAUGUUCUCACUCAUAGGUGGGAAUUGAACAAUAAGAACACUUGGACACAGGGUGGGGAACAUCACACACCGGGGCCUGUCGGGGGGUGGGGGGAGGGGGGAGGGAUAGCAUUAGGAGAUAUACCUAAUGUAAAUGAUGAGUUAAUGGGUGCAGAACACCAGCAUGGCACAUGGAUACAUAUGUAACAAACCUGCACAUUGUGCACAUGUACCCUAGAACUUAAAGUAUAAUGAUAAUAGAAAAAAAAAUAGAGCACAAGGAACAUGCUAACAAAUUUGAAAGUUUCGAUGAGAUGGAAAAAUUCCUAGAAAAUUAUAACUACCAAAACUGAAAGAAGAAAGAUAAAUGACCCCACAUUUGUUAAAUAAAUGGGAUCUGUCAUGAAAAUAUUCCACGCAGUGGAACCUCUAGUCACAAAUGCUUCACCAGUGAAUUCUACUAAACAUUUAAGGAAUAAAUAGCACCCAUCUCACACAAACUCUUCUAGAGCCAAGGCAUCAUGGGAACAGCAACUCCACCUGUCAUGUUUCACCUCCAGGAGAACGUGAUACCCAAACUCAACAGAGAAAAAAUAAACUUACAGACCAGUCUCACUCAUGAACAUAGACAGAAAUCCUCAACAAGAUAUUAGCAUAUAAGACCUGGCAGUUGGCCAGGCGUGGUGGCUCACGCCUGUAAUCCCAGCACUUUGGGAGGCUGAGGUGGGUGGAUCACGAGGUCAGGAGAUCGAGACCAUCCUGGCUAACACGGUGAAACCCUGUCUCUACUAAAAAUCAAAAAAUUAGCUAGGUGUGGUAGUGGGCGCCUGUAGUCCCAGCUACUUGGGAGGCUGAGGCAGGAGAAUGGCGUGAACCCGGGAGGCGGAGCUUGCAGUGAACCGAGAUCGCGCCACUGCACUCCAGCCUGGGCGACAGAGCGAGACUCUGUGUCAAAAACAAAAAACAAAUAAACAAAAAAUCCUGGAAGUAUGUAAUGAACAUAUUAAAUUGAGUCAUCUCUCUCUCUCUC
Molecule: long non-coding RNA, 2443 nt
Organism: Pan troglodytes (chimpanzee)
Lineage: Eukaryota; Metazoa; Chordata; Mammalia; Primates; Hominidae
Exons: 2
Source: RefSeq, a predicted model, not a curated record